This is a non-coding RNA of Pelobates cultripes (western spadefoot toad), 228 nucleotides long. The record is from the annotation of a GenBank genome assembly. NCBI's taxonomy places the organism in Eukaryota, Metazoa, Chordata, Amphibia, Anura, Pelobatidae.
CUCUUUUCUCUCUUGGUUUUCCUCCUAUCUCUCCCAACGCUCAUUCAGUGUCUCCUUUUCCAAGGAUACCUCCUCCCCUCGUCCUGUCUCGGUUGGAGUUCCCCAAGGGUCUGUCCUUGGUCCCCUUCUAUUUUCUCUUUAUUCUGCCUCUCUAGGUAAACUUAUUGCCUCUUUUGGAUUCCACUACCACCUGUUCGCUGAUGACACUUAGAUAUACCUCUCCUCCCC